CCCUGGUCUGGAUCAACAGUGAGGCCUCCUGCAGGAAAGGCAAGCUAUCCUGCUGCUUUGGAGUCUGCGCUGCAUAACAGGGGCUCCAGAGACCUUCCCAGUGGAGCAAAAGCUGAGGGAGUUACCUGUGGACCCACCCUACAAGGGAGGCAUGAGGCCUUCAGGUCAGCAUGGAUGCCCCAGGUUCAUGUGAAUAUGUCCACGCAGCAUUCCUAGCAGGAGCAAAUCCAUUCUCAAACAAACAUUGGAACCUCCUGAAGCACACCCUGCUUCAGGGCCUGAGGAUUCAGCCAUGAACAAGAGAGAGGCCCUCCUCCUGUGGGGCACAGAGCAGUACAGCAGCAACAGAAACUCGCAGGACUACCUGCCCAGCUUCCCAGUCUCAGCCAGCAAGGUAAACAAAGGGGUCCCAGGGCUGGCACGGAGAAGCCAAGCAGAAUGGGCUGCUCUAUGCCCUGGCAGCCUUCUUCCUUGGCCAUAGAAGACAUUGAAGCUCCAGUGGGCUGGGCAUGUUGCCCCACUAUCUUCUCCCUACAGUAAACUCAAUGUCAGGAGAGAGUUCAGUCUUCCAAGUUUGCCUCAAACCAAACUACACACAAACCUUCCCCAAGAUGUCGGCUUUCAGUCCUAAGAGAAUCUAGAACUACAGCCUAACAGAGAGCCAGCAGACAGGGGCCCUGAGCUCCCACUCAGGAGUACAAGGCAGAGGUUCCACUUUUAUCUUGUUCACUGGACUGAAAGAGCGAUAACGAAAGGUAAUUGCUUCAUGGAAACCUGUGCUCAAAAGGACAGAACUCUGUCACCUUAGGUCAGGCAGGAGCCAGUAUUUAUUACCAUAUUUUAGCCAAAAGAGAUUCCUGCCUGGAGGGAGAGCCAGCGGAAAGACGUUGUAACUUUUCAUUUCUAAUACAGGACCAGUUUCCAUGGAGACCAGUGUGAAGCUGCUGCACAGAUUCUUCUUGUAGAAGCCAGAGUGGCAUCAUAGGAGGGACUGGUGCCUCUGUCUUCCUGCCUUUUCAUCCCACUGCCCUUCACUGUGCUCCUGCCAGGGAACCAGUGGGCACUGCAUUGGAAGCUUGUAAUUCCUGACUCCCCAUGGGAGUGGGAGUCAGGUCAGGGCCAGCUAUGAAUUCGCAGGACCGGUGCAAAAUAAAAAUGCAGGCUCCUUGUUCAAGAAAAAAUAGUUGAAGUUGCUAAAAUAGAAAGCUUAAUCCCUCCUUCCAUGGUCCCUCUCAACUUGUCAUAGUGCUUUUCAUUUGCAAUUUAAUGUUUCCAAGUCAAGCAAAAUUAAGAUCCUAAAUCAAUAGGACAAAUUUCACUGUUCACCUUUGUACUGCUUAUUUUUAGAACGCCCAUUUCAAAGGCAAACAUGACAGCAUUUAACUAAUGCAGAAUCACAGAAAUGAUGCAAUUCCUACUUCAUAGCUCAUG
This is a non-coding RNA of Manis javanica (Malayan pangolin), 1431 nucleotides long. The record is from RefSeq and is a predicted model, not a curated record. Lineage: Eukaryota; Metazoa; Chordata; Mammalia; Pholidota; Manidae.